This 1313-nucleotide long non-coding RNA is filed under the name Gallus gallus (chicken). RNAcentral describes it as "lncRNA (ENSGALG00010014262.1)". The record is from RNAcentral. Lineage: Eukaryota; Metazoa; Chordata; Aves; Galliformes; Phasianidae.
CCCGCUUUAUUUUUAGUUCGGUUUAGGGGAUUGCCACAUUUUCUUGCUUUUUGUUGUUGCGGUUGCUAAUCCUGUGGGCAGACUGAUCGCUUCCUUGUAUUCUUGGCUUUCAUUUUGUUUACUUUAUUGGUGAAAAUACCAAAAUGCAAAAUCUUUUUUGUAUGUGUUGUUGUUCCCCCCCUCCCCCCUAUUUUCACUCUGUGCCAGCACUGGCACGAGUAAAUGGGAAGAUGCCACAAGUCAACUGCAGGUUACCAGAGCCUCUAACUGCGGCCUGGAGAAGCACAGCUGAAACCCAGCCCCGGGCCCUCCAGCUGUGGCAGGAGAAGGUCUCCCUGUGGGAACAGGUCUGCCCUCAGCAGUUCCCUCCACUCUUUCUGGCUAGGUUGCUGUUUGAGCGCAGCCAGUGCGUUGUUAACUAGCAAAAGACUGCUCACGUUGAAUUAUGAAUACAUAAAACAGCAGCGGGAUUUAAUUAGGCAGCUAUUCAGAAAGCAGGUGCUUCCUUUCUGGGUUUAAGUUACCAAAUUCAUCGGGGCAUUUCAACUUUGUGCAGUUGAAAUUCCCUGCUCCUGACGAACAAAGUCAUUUUCUCAGCUUUGGAGGCUGACAUCUGCUUGCAGAGAUUAACCGUGUUCCUAUAGCAGCUGGCACAGAUUUUCUUUGUGGAGGGGUUGUAUGGAAGAGAGCCUUAAGCCCCGGUACGAGUUGCUGCUCUCAGAUGGAAAUUGCUCUGCAGGUUUUGAAGAAGGUGCGUUUAUCAGAGGGAUGCCUGGCGGUGUUACAUCACCUGUGGGUUUGGGACGGGUUUGAAAGGGCUGGCUGUGCUGUUGGAUGGCGAUGGGAGGUCCUGUGUUCCUAUAAGUCACAGGGGAGACUUAUUCCACAAGGCGGAGAACAACCGCUUUAAAUGAAGAGCCAUCAGCGAGCACUUGCGUGGAGCUGUGUUUGCAGAUGGAGUGAAGACAGUCGGUCAGAGGGAACGACCCCGGAGCUACAGAGGACAACAAAUGUUUCCCAGCCUUCCUACUGUAACACCCUGAUGUGAGUAACAACCGGGGUGGUUUGUUGGGGGUCUUUCUCUUUUGGUAAAUAAACUUUCCUGCGCAUCCAUUUGCAGCUGCCGCUCACCCCUCUUUUGCUCUGCUUAUGUGUGCGUUCCUUUCCUGGCCGUAGGGCAGUGCUGCACAGCCUGCAGAAGAGACUGAGUGGUCUCUCAGGAAUAAAAACGUGAAGGCUGCUCUGUAAUACGAAAUAGAACGCGCAGUAAAAUGUUUACGUGAGAAACCAUGUCAGCAGCUGCAUCUUUUUAU